AACGCUGGCGGCGUGCCUAAUACAUGCAAGUCGAGCGAACAGACGAGGAGCUUGCUCCUCUGACGUUAGCGGCGGACGGGUGAGUAACACGUGGAUAACCUACCUAUAAGACUGGGAUAACUUCGGGAAACCGGAGCUAAUACCGGAUAACAUGUUGAACCGCAUGGUUCAACAGUGAAAGACGGUCUUGCUGUCACUUAUAGAUGGAUCCGCGCCGCAUUAGCUAGUUGGUAAGGUAACGGCUUACCAAGGCAACGAUGCGUAGCCGACCUGAGAGGGUGAUCGGCCACACUGGAACUGAGACACGGUCCAGACUCCUACGGGAGGCAGCAGUAGGGAAUCUUCCGCAAUGGGCGAAAGCCUGACGGAGCAACGCCGCGUGAGUGAAGAAGGUCUUCGGAUCGUAAAACUCUGUUAUUAGGGAAGAACAAAUGUGUAAGUAACUAUGCACGUCUUGACGGUACCUAAUCAGAAAGCCACGGCUAACUACGUGCCAGCAGCCGCGGUAAUACGUAGGUGGCAAGCGUUAUCCGGAAUUAUUGGGCGUAAAGCGCGCGUAGGCGGUUUUUUAAGUCUGAUGUGAAAGCCCACGGCUCAACCGUGGAGGGUCAUUGGAAACUGGAAAACUUGAGUGCAGAAGAGGAAAGUGGAAUUCCAUGUGUAGCGGUGAAAUGCGCAGAGAUAUGGAGGAACACCAGUGGCGAAGGCGACUUUCUGGUCUGUAACUGACGCUGAUGUGCGAAAGCGUGGGGAUCAAACAGGAUUAGAUACCCUGGUAGUCCACGCCGUAAACGAUGAGUGCUAAGUGUUAGGGGGUUUCCGCCCCUUAGUGCUGCAGCUAACGCAUUAAGCACUCCGCCUGGGGAGUACGACCGCAAGGUUGAAACUCAAAGGAAUUGACGGGGACCCGCACAAG
This 916-nucleotide ribosomal RNA is filed under the name Staphylococcus caprae. Its description in RNAcentral is "bacterial SSU rRNA". It matches the Rfam family "Bacterial small subunit ribosomal RNA", at positions 32 to 929 of the family's 1533-position model. Lineage: Bacteria; Bacillati; Bacillota; Bacilli; Caryophanales; Staphylococcaceae. The record is from RNAcentral.